RNAcentral lists this ribosomal RNA (142 nucleotides) under uncultured bacterium. Its description in RNAcentral is "partial 16S rRNA". It matches the Rfam family "Bacterial small subunit ribosomal RNA", at positions 355 to 511 of the family's 1533-position model. The record is from RNAcentral.
UGGGGAAUAUUGGACAAUGGGCGAAAGCCUGAUCCAGCAAUGCCGCGUGUGCGAAGAAGGUCUUCGGAUUGUAAAGCACUUUCGACGGGGACGGAUGAUGACGGUACCCGUACGAAGAAGCCCCGGCCUAACUUCGUGCCAG